RNAcentral lists this ribosomal RNA (487 nucleotides) under uncultured bacterium. RNAcentral's name for it is "bacterial SSU rRNA". It matches the Rfam family "Bacterial small subunit ribosomal RNA", at positions 29 to 507 of the family's 1533-position model. The record is from RNAcentral.
AUGAACGCUAGCUACAGGCUUAACACAUGCAAGUCGAGGGGUUCUGAUUAGAAGCUUGCUUUGGUUAAAGACGACCGGCGCACGGGUGAGUAACGCGUAUCCAACCUGCCCUUCAUAUUGGGAUAGCCUCUCGAAAGGGAGAUUAAUACCGAAUAACAUGAAAGAGUUGCCUGAUUUUUUCAUGAAAGCUCCGGCGAUGAAGGAUAGGCUCGCGUGACAUUAGCUAGAUGGCGGGGUAACGGCCCACCAUGGCGACGAUGUCUAGGGGUUCUGAGAGGAAGGUCCCCCACACUGGAACUGAGACACGGUCCAGACCCCUACGGGAGGCAGCAGUGAGGAAUAUUGGUCAAUGGUCUGACGACUGAACCAGCCAUGCCGCGUGAAGGAGACGGCCCUAUGGGUCUUAAACUUCUUUUGCGAGGGAGCAAUAAGGUCUACGCGUAGGCCGAUGAGAGUACCUCGCGAAUAAGCAUCGGCUAACUCCGUG